GGACAUUUACUGACCUUCUGGUGAAGGCGAUCCCCCACUCACUGUCUUGACAGGGUCACAGUGAGAAUAAGUGCUGGCAAAGCCGCUCUCCCACUGUCUUGACAGGGUCACAGUGAGGAUGGAUGCUGGCAAAGCCACGCUGGUUGGUGGGAAACCGAAACCAUGAGACUCUUUUUUAUGUAAUUGGGACUUUUCAUUUUCAUGCUUAUGUUUCUGACAGGAGGCAUGAGUAUGUUAAAUGCCAAACAAAUUAAAUUUCAGAUGGCUAGAACAUAACAGGUAGUUCAUGCCUUGAAGGCUGUUCUACUACCCCUCAGCAUAUCAAGGACAAAGUAGAAGGCUGUUCUUCUAUCUCAGUACAUUGAGGACAAAUCUGAUAAUGGACAACAAUCAUUUUCUGAAAGGUCAUGAGAAUUUUAGGCACCACAUUGAUUAUAUCAACUAGAACCCAAGCUCAUAUUUCCGGCCUCUUAGAAAACCUAAUUAUUAUGCUUAUUUUACAAAGCCCACUAUAUGUAGUCUCAUUUUUGAUUGAGGAAAGUUAUAUUAUACACUUAGGAAAGUUAAGACAUAUAAAGAUAUAUUCUUCUCUUUUUAUAAACCUUUUUUUUUACUUUACAUAGGAAUUUAUGAUGAGUAUAGUUAAUAUUGGUGGAAAGUGGAUUAAUGUUUAGAACUUACUUUCUAUUGAGAAAGAUUAUAAAGAUAUGAGAACUAGUGCACCUUGACUGAGAAACAAAGAAACUCUUUGAGAAAGCAGCUCAACCAGUUUUAUGAGAAUAAAU
Molecule: long non-coding RNA, 785 nt
Filed under: Marmota monax (woodchuck)
Lineage: Eukaryota; Metazoa; Chordata; Mammalia; Rodentia; Sciuridae
Source: RNAcentral